GGCUCCGGCCACGGCCCCCGGGCGCCGGCUACUCGUCCCCCCACGCGCGCACCACCGCCAACGUCAAGGACUUGACCUUCCCAGCCCCCACCCCACGGAGCGCAGACGCCGGCGGGAGGCGACCCCCGGGGGGCCGUCGCGCCCCCAGCACCUGAUCCUUUGGGCGAGUCGCGUCGCCCCCAGAGCCCCGAUGUCCUCUUGGGCCGAGUCGGGGCUGCGGGAGCGAGCUUGGGGUCGGAGCAGAAGCUGCACCUGCCGGCCCCAGUCUCUGCUCGCUGCGCGGGGUGUGGGGGGGCGCCUGUCCUCGGGAGUCCGUCCUGGAGACUUCGACUGUGGCCUCUCAGAGCCGGCUUGGUCUGCGCGACCUUAGUGGGAUGCCCAAGUCCCCCGGAGAUGCAGAGGCCCGUCCGAGUGGACGAGGGUCCGGCGAAUCCCACAGGGGUCUCUGCGGUUCUCCCCUCUUCCUUGAGUCGGGGCCCCCACCUUGUCUCAGCUGGAGCCGGAGGCAAACCCACACCAGGACAGCCGUGCACACCCCGUGUGCCAGGCGCUGCGACCCCAAGACAGCAUCGUGGGCUCCACUGUGCAGAUGGGGAAACCAAGUCAGAAAGGAGAAAGGGCCUCUCCACCGGGGAGACCACCCUCAAGAGACCCCCCCCUCGGGACAGAUGGUCCCAUGAGGAGCCACCAGCUGUAUUCAAGCCUGUGCCGAAGGAAGGACCCAGAUGGUACAGUCAGAUGGGACUGGACUGGACUUCUGGCUCCGACUACUGAAAAUGACCUUGGACGGAGUUAGAGAACUGAGUUUUCACCUGUGAAAUGGAAUAAAAACCCCUGUUAUACAACA
This is a non-coding RNA of Oryctolagus cuniculus (rabbit), 847 nucleotides long. The record is from RefSeq and is a predicted model, not a curated record. NCBI's taxonomy places the organism in Eukaryota, Metazoa, Chordata, Mammalia, Lagomorpha, Leporidae.